AUUGAACGCUGGCGGCAUGCUUUACACAUGCAAGUCGAACGGCAGCGCGGGCUUCGGCCUGGCGGCGAGUGGCGAACGGUUGAGUAAUGCAUCGGAACGUGCCCAGUAGUGGGGGAUAGCCCGGCGAAAGCCGGAUUAAUACCGCAUACGACCUGAGGGUGAAAGCGGGGGUCCGAAAGGCCUCGCGCUAUUGGAGCGGCCGAUGUCGGAUUAGCUAGUUGGUGGGGUAAAGGCUUACCAAGGCGACGAUCCGUAGCUGGUCUGAGAAGACGACCAGCCACACUGGGACUGAGACACGGCCCAGACUCCUACGGGAGGCAGCAGUGGGGAAUUUUGGACAAUGGGGGCAACCCUGAUCCAGCCAUGCCGCGUGCGGGAAGAAGGCCUUCGGGUUGUAAACCGCUUUUGUUCGGGAAGAAAGCCUCUGGGCUAAUACCCCGGGGGGAUGACGGUACCGGAAGAAUAAGCACCGGCUAACUACGUG
Molecule: ribosomal RNA, 484 nt
Filed under: uncultured bacterium
Lineage: Bacteria
Description: partial 16S ribosomal RNA
Rfam family: Bacterial small subunit ribosomal RNA
Source: RNAcentral